AUUGAACGCUGGCGGCAUGCCUUACACAUGCCAGUCGAACGGUAACAGGUCUUCGGAUGCUGACGAGUGGCGAACGGGUGAGUAAUACAUCGGAACGUGCCCGAGAGUGGGGGAUAACGAAGCGAAAGCUUUGCUAAUACCGCAUACGAUCUCAGGAUGAAAGCAGGGGACCGCAAGGCCUUGCGCUCACGGAGCGGCCGAUGGCAGACUAGGUAGUUGGUGGGAUAAAAGCUUACCAAGCCGACGAUCUGUAGCUGGUCUGAGAGGACGACCAGCCACACUGGGACUGAGACACGGCCCAGACUCCUACGGGAGGCAGCAGUGGGGAAUUUUGGACAAUGGGCGCAAGCCUGAUCCAGCCAUGCCGCGUGCAGGAUGAAGGCCUUCGGGUUGUAAACUGCUUUUGUACGGAACGAAAAGACUCUGGUUAAUACCUGGGGUCCAUGACGGUACCGUAAGAAUAAGCACCGGCUAACUACGUGCCAGCAGCCGCGGUAAUACGUAGGGUGCGAGCGUUAAUCGGAAUUACUGGGCGUAAAGCGUGCGCAGGCGGUUAUGUAAGACAGAUGUGAAUCCCCGGGCUCAACCUGGGAACUGCAUUUGUGACUGCAUAGCUAGAGUACGGCAGAGGGGGAUGGAAUUCCGCGCGUAGCAGUGAAAUGCGUAGAUAUGCGGAGGAACACCGAUGGCGAAGGCAAUCCCCUGGGCCUGUACUGACGCUCAUGCACGAAA
Molecule: ribosomal RNA, 732 nt
Filed under: uncultured beta proteobacterium
Lineage: Bacteria; Pseudomonadati; Pseudomonadota; Betaproteobacteria
Description: bacterial SSU rRNA
Rfam family: Bacterial small subunit ribosomal RNA
Source: RNAcentral